AACCAGUUUCUGGAACAAGACAAGCUUCCCGAGCCUAGGAUUUUCGGAACCCACUCACCUUACACGGCACUCCCGUGUUCGGUCAAAGAUUCUGCUGCUAAGAUUGUGUAUGUGUGUCGGAAUCCUCUGGACAUGUUCAUUUCCUAUUGGAAAUUCAGUGUCAAUAUCCCGAAGGAGAAUGAGAAACACCUUUCACUAGGAGACGCUUUUGACAAGUUCUGUCAGGGACUUCAUGGCUACGGUCCAUUUUGGGAUCAUUUAUUAGGGUAUUGGAAGGCAAGCUUGGAGAGACCUGAUAAGGUCUUGUUUCUGAAAUACGAGGACAUUAAAAAGAACAAUGUCCCUAGCAUCAAGAAGCUGGCUACCUUUCUGGGGCUUCCUUUCUCUGUGGAGGAAGAGAAGCAAGGUUUGAUAGAGGAAACAUCAAGGCUAUGCAGCGUUGAAAGCAUGAAAAACCAUGAAGCAACCAUGACAGGCACAGGCCCUCUUGGGAUCCCAGCUAGUGCCUUCCUCAGGAAAGGAAAGGUGGGAGAUUCACUGAAUUAUCUAACACCCUCAAUGGUGAGCCGUGUGGAGAAUCUGAUUCAAGAGAAGCUCCAAGAUUCUGGUCUCUGCUUCUGUCUGUCUAGCACUUUCCAAAAUAGUGCUUGACUUGAGUUCAGAUAUACAGCAUUAAUGUUAUUGCUGUAUUGAUCUAUAUUUAAUGAUUGAAAAAAUAAGAUAUCUAUAGAGAAUAAGUGAUGAAAGAAUUGAAAUGAGAGGAGAGAAAGUCAAAUCAACGAUUUCUUGUUUUAUUUUCUGGAUAUGCAUGUGGAAGGAACCUAUGGAGAGAAUGGAAUUAACUUUCCGUCACUCAAAGAACUUUCAUCUGUUUUUGCAUGGUUAUCAAGCCUAGCUAAAUUCAUGAUUACAUCAAUUCAAAACAGCAUAAUUUCUAAAAGAAUUAAAAGUAGAAAUGACUUCAUUUUAAUUUUUCUUAAAAAAAAAACAUGUUCUUUUCUGGGUUUUGAUUAGAUCAUGGCUAGAUCUAUUAGGUUGACCAAAUCAACUCUUCCAAUUUAUUUUGAUAUAAAAUCCCAUUCGGAUCAAAUCUCAGGUUCAUAAGUCACUAAGCUAAUCGAUUAGGUCAGGUUUUAUAAUUAUAUAUUUUUAUAGUAAGCUAUACUUUUACUUAAAUUCAUAAUUUUGAAAUUUGAUCUUUUAUAGAUUAGAACUAGAUAGGUGGCUCUUACUUUAUUGUGGGCGGGCUGGUUUUUCUAUAAUAUUAAAAAAUGAUUCUCAAGCGUUGUAAGCGUGUUUAUAAGAAGGGAAAAAAAUUAAUGUUCAUUCAAUUAUAUGAUAUAUUAAACAAUAACAAUAAACAAACUGAAUCUUAAAAGAAAACAUGGUAUAAUGAUAACCAAAAGAAAAGGAACCUUUCUUCAUGGGGAAAAAAUCACAUAGCCGAAUUCCAAGAUAACCCUUAAAGGAAAAAAUAAGAAAUGAUAAAAUAAAGUGCAGUCAACCCGAGUUGGCAUGCUAAACUCAUAACCCUGGUCACGAGGUCUCUCUAGUCUCAAAGAAAACAAAUUGAAAAAAAUAAUGAAAAGAAACCUAAAAAAAAUAAAACAUUUGCAAAACUGGGUAAAGUAGCUAAAGCUCGCGAGCUGGAUCAUGCGAUUGAGUUAACCUAAUAGAAGGCAAAACAAGAAAAAUGAUGAAACUUAAUUUUAAAUUGAACCCAAUUUUAAAGGACAAAGUCGAAAAAAAUUUAAAAGAAACUCCAAAAAAAUAGUUGGGUUAAUCAGCUAAACCUGUUGUCCGGAUCAUGAGAUCAGGAUAACUUGAUUGAAAGAAAACCAAAGAAAAGCAUGAGGUUCAUUUUUCAAAAAAAUCAACGUCGAAGGAUGAAAUUGAAAAAGAAAUAAAUGAAAAAGAUGAUGCCGAUCCAAGUUAACUUUUUAAACACGUGACUUAAGUCACUAAACCAGAAGCAUCCCAUUUGAAAAAUCAUGAAGUCUAAUUUUUAAUAAAUAAAAUAUAGAAGGUUAACAUAUCUUAAUUUUAAAAAGAACUCAGUUUUGAAGAAUGAAAUUAAAAAAAUAAUAUAAAAAGAGAUUCUAAAGAAAUUGUCGGGUUAACUGGCUAAACUUAUUGACCAGGUAAUGAGACUAGAAUAACGUGAUUGAAAGAAAAUCAAAGAAGAUCAUGAAGCCCAUGUUUCAAAAUAAACAACUUCAAAGGAUAAAUUGAAAAAAAAAAAUAAGUGAAAAAAAUGAUGGCAUUCCGUGUUGACUUUUCAAACUUGUGACCCAACUCACUAAACUGGAAGCACCCCAUUUAAAAAAAUCAUAAAGCCUAAUUUGUAAUAAAUCAAAUGUUAAAGGAUGAGAAAGCUUAAUUUUAAAAAGAACCCAAUUUUUAAGGACAAAAUAAAAAUAUAUAUAUAAAAAAAUGACUCCAAAAAAAUGAUUAGUUUAACCAGCCAAACGUAAUGCUUAGUUCAUAAAAUCUGAAUAACCUGAUUGAAAGAAAACUAAAGAAAAUUAUGAAGCUUAUUUUUCAAAAUAAAUAACGUUGAAUGAUGAAAUUAAAAAUUAAAUACAAAAACUCUAUGUUAACUUUUCAAACUCGUAACCCAAGUCGCUAAAUCAGAAGCAACAAUUGAAAAAUCAUAAAGUCUAAUUCUCAAUAAAUCAGACAUCAAAAGAUGAUAUUUUAAAACAAAAAUUAUAAAAAAUAUCAAAAACAAAAUAACAAUUAAGAUAAUAAAGAUCAAAUGUGAAAUAAAAAACAAAUGAGAUGACAACUUAAAAUUUUGAAUUGAAGGGUAAAAUAAAAAAAAAAUCCAAUUCAUAAAAGAAUUUUAAAAAAAAAUCAAAACCAAAAUCAAAAGAAUGAUGACCAGAUUUGAAAAAAUAAAAAAUCACAAUUAUAAAUUUAAUGAUAAAAUUAAAAAUAAAUUGUGAUUUGAUAAAAGAGUUGAAAUACCGGUAAAUAAAAGAAUAAUUUUAAAAUUUUAAAUGAGAAACAUGGUUUCAAGGGGGAAAAAGAAAAGAAUAGAAAAAAAUAUUCCAUUUACAAUACAUCGUGGCCUAAACGACCACAAGUAUUGCCGUAUGUUAAAGAAGCCAUGGCGCUUCCAACGCGGUUGUAGAAAGCGAUAUUUAGGUGCUAGAUGACCCCAUAAGCCCAAAGGGCAAGGCCAUUCCCUCACGCCGCCUUUGUUUUAAAUGUAUUUAUACUUGUUAAACUACUAAAAUGCCCCUCGAUUAUAGCCAUUAUAACAAAAAAACAAUGGUAGAAUAAAGAGAUUUUGUUUUCAGGAAUAAUUUAGCCAUUGUAGCUAAAAUGCCCCUCGAUAAGCUAGCAAAGUGAUUUUUUUUUUCUUUUAAGGAGGUGAUACACUGAUUACAUUUAACCGGAACAAGUCCCUGGCCGCAGAUGCUAUCUCCGACCGAGCAAAGGGCCUUGUUAAUAAAUACCUAAAUAGGCGUGUUCUUAGUCCAGCCAAGAUUGCCCAUUCCCCUUAAUUAAGUAAGAUUCAAGAAAGAACGGAUAGGUCCAGCAGAGGGAACUUCACGCUGCCAUUGAUGUUUUUUUUUUAAUAAUUACUAAUAGCUAGACAGAGAGCUUCCUACUAGAAAUUUGGAUAGGACUAACAGCAGCUGGGAAACGAGAGAGAAGAUGCAGCUACCUUCUCAGGAUCUUGAUAUGGUAAAUACCUUUCAUAUAUUCUUGCAUGGUUUUAAACCCGGCAUGGUUUAUGAUCUAUGCGGGUGGGUUAGUCCAAGACGAUUCACUUGGUUCAUAUGAUUAACUCUCAACCUAGUUCAAUAUAAAACUCAAUUUGGAUAGGCCUCAGAUCAGUAAAUUAUCGGAUUAACUUGCUGGGCUGAGGAUAAAUUCUAUAACAAUGUAUUUUUGUGAUAAAUUAUAUUUUUGUUUACAUAUAUAAAUUAAAAAAAAGGUUCAAGAUUUGAUCUCUUAUAUAUUAGAAUAAGUUGUCGAUAUUAAUUUUGUCGAGGUCGCAACUUGGCAAGCAUGAUCGUGUUGAUAGAGACAGCACUAGUCAUGCUACAACUUUUUGUGCUCUUACCAAAAUGAGUUUACUUUGAAUCAACUCUAAUUGUGAAUUCAACCCUUGCGCAUGAUCGCAGAACCACCUUCCCACCCACGCACGAAGGUUCAAGCCUAUUUACAAAUCCCGACCAUAAUACCCUUCAAUGAUAUAUAUAAGACAUGCUGUGAUCUCAAGAAUCAAGAAAUUCUACUCCUCAUAUUUCAUUGUUUUCUUGAACAAUCUUCUUCCUUGUCAGUGUGAUUCUUAGUUUGAUGGAGUGUGUGCAAAUCACUGUAGAGGAAGAGCAGAGAGAUGAAUCCCAGGAGUUGCUUCAACACCUCCCAACAGAAAUAGGUAUGGGAGGCAAUCUUCUCUAUCUAUACCAAGGAUUCUGGUGUCCACAGGUAUCAAUCAAGGGCAUGAUGUUGUUUCAACAACACUUCAAGGCACAAGAAACUGACCUCAUACUUGCCAGCAUUCCAAAAUCAGGUACCACUUGGUUAAAGGCCUUGACUUAUACUAUAGUUAAUCGCUCCCAUCACUCACUUGAAAAGAGCCCUUUGCUCACCAAUGGCCCUCAUGGGGUGGUGCCCUUUCUUGAGUUUGAUAUCAGCUCCAGAAACCAGUUUCUGGAACAAGACAAGCUUCCCGAGCCUAGGAUUUUCGGAACCCACUCACCUUACACGGCACUCCCGUGUUCGGUCAAAGAUUCUGCUGCUAAGAUUGUGUAUGUGUGUCGGAAUCCUCUGGACAUGUUCAUUUCCUAUUGGAAAUUCAGUGUCAAUAUCCCGAAGGAGAAUGAGAAACACCUUUCACUAGGAGAUGCUUUUGACAAGUUUUGUCAGGGACUUCAUGGCUACGGUCCAUUUUGGGAUCAUUUAUUAGGGUAUUGGAAGGCAAGCUUGGAGAGACCUGAUAAGGUCUUGUUUCUGAAAUACGAGGACAUUAAAAAGAACAAUGUCCCCUACAUCAAGAAGCUAGCUAACUUUCUGGGGCUUCCUUUCUCUGUGGAGGAAGAGGAGCAAGGUUUGAUAGAGGAAACAUCGAGGCUAUGCAGCUUUGAAAGCAUGAAAAACUAUGAAGCAACCAUGACAGGCACAGGCCCUCUUGGGAUCCCAGCUAGUGCCUUCCUCAGGAAAGGACAGGUGGGAGAUUCACUGAAUUAUCUAACACCCUCAAUGGUGAGCCGUGUGGAGAAUCUGAUUCAAGAGAAGCUCCAAGAUUCUGGUCUCAGCUUCUGUCUGUCUAGCGCAUUCGAAAAUAGUUCUUGAGCUUUACUUUUUCUUUUUUAAUCUUUGAUGUAUUGAUCUGUAUUGAUGAUUGAAUCUAUACAGAAUAAGUGAUGAAAGAAAUGAGAUUUGAUGGGAGACAGGCAAAUUAAUGAUUACUGAUUUUAUUUCUUGGAUAUAUGCAUGUGGAAGGAACCCACAGGGAUAAUGAAAUUAGCUUUCCUUUGUUUCUC
RNAcentral lists this long non-coding RNA (5504 nucleotides) under Populus trichocarpa (black cottonwood). Its description in RNAcentral is "long non-coding RNA (PTRI_LNC000812)". Lineage: Eukaryota; Viridiplantae; Streptophyta; Magnoliopsida; Malpighiales; Salicaceae. The record is from RNAcentral.